AUUGAACGCUGGCGGCAUGCCUUACACAUGCAAGUCGAACGGUAACGGGCCUUCGGGUGCCGACGAGUGGCGAACGGGUGAGUAAUACAUCGGAACGUGCCCGAUCGUGGGGGAUAACGAGGCGAAAGCUUUGCUAAUACCGCAUACGAUCUACGGAUGAAAGCAGGGGACCGCAAGGCCUUGCGCGGACGGAGCGGCCGAUGGCAGAUUAGGUAGUUGGUGGGAUAAAAGCUUACCAAGCCGACGAUCUGUAGCUGGACUGAGAGGAUGAUCAGCCACACUGGGACUGAGACACGGCCCAGACUCCUACGGGAGGCAGCAGUGGGGAAUUUUGGACAAUGGGCGCAAGCCUGAUCCAGCCAUGCCGCGUGCAGGAUGAAGGCCUUCGGGUUGUAAACUGCUUUUGUACGGAACGAAAAGCCUUCUUUUAAUACAGGAGGGUCAUGACGGUACCGUAAGAAUAAGCACCGGCUAACUACGUG
This 482-nucleotide ribosomal RNA is filed under the name uncultured bacterium. Its description in RNAcentral is "partial 16S ribosomal RNA". It matches the Rfam family "Bacterial small subunit ribosomal RNA", at positions 30 to 507 of the family's 1533-position model. The record is from RNAcentral.